RNAcentral lists this ribosomal RNA (327 nucleotides) under Triticum aestivum (bread wheat). RNAcentral describes it as "partial small subunit ribosomal RNA". Lineage: Eukaryota; Viridiplantae; Streptophyta; Magnoliopsida; Poales; Poaceae. The record is from RNAcentral.
AUGUUGUGGCUAGCGCUGCCCGGACUACUGGACGGCCGGCUACUGCGCUGCCUCUACUACUUUCUACUACUAUGCUGCCUCUACUGGUCUCGAAGCAGCACAGGUGACAUGGGAGAACUAAAUCCAACUGGACUGUUCUCAACUCCUCUUGAACUAGUGCCUCUAGCAGAUCCAAGAAAAGGUAUGCAUCCAGCAGGAGAAGCUGGACUGCUACUUGAGCCUGCUCCAAAUGCUCCCGAAGGGUACUGCCCCAUGUUACCUUGGUUGUUUCGGCUCUGUGCAUCUGAAGGUGAGAAGGAGGAGUUCAUCAUGCUUGUGAAGCUUUGA